Molecule: ribosomal RNA, 508 nt
Filed under: uncultured bacterium
Lineage: Bacteria
Description: partial 16S ribosomal RNA
Rfam family: Bacterial small subunit ribosomal RNA
Source: RNAcentral
AUUGAACGCUGGCGGCAGGCCUAACACAUGCAAGUCGAGCGGCAGCGGGAAAGUAGCUUGCUACUUUUGCCGGCGAGCGGCGGACGGGUGAGUAAUGCCUGGGAAAUUGCCCAGUCGAGGGGGAUAACAGUUGGAAACGACUGCUAAUACCGCAUACGCCCUACGGGGGAAAGCAGGGGACCUUCGGGCCUUGCGCGAUUGGAUAUGCCCAGGUGGGAUUAGCUAGUUGGUGAGGUAAUGGCUCACCAAGGCGACGAUCCCUAGCUGGUCUGAGAGGAUGAUCAGCCACACCGGAACUGAGACACGGUCCAGACUACUACGGGAGGCAGCAGUGGGGAAUAUUGAACAAUGGGGGAAACCCUGAUGCAGCCAUGCCGCGUGUGUGAAGAAGGCCUUCGGGUUGUAAAGCACUUUCAGCGAGGAGGAAAGGUUGAUGCCUAAUACGUAUCAACUGUGACGUUACUCGCAGAAGAAGCACCGGCUAACUCCGUGCCAGCCGCCGCCGUAA